GAGGCGGCAGGCUUAACACAUGCAAGUCGAACGCCCUUUUCGGAGGGAGUGGCAGACGGGUGAGUAACGCGUGGGAAUUUACCCAGCUCUACGGAACAACUCAGGGAAACUUGAGCUAAUACCGUAUACGCCCUUUUGGGGAAAGAUUUAUCGGAGUUGGAUGAGCCCGCGUUUGAUUAGCUAGUUGGUGGGGUAAUGGCCUACCAAGGCGACGAUCAAUAGCUGGUCUGAGAGGAUGAUCAGCCACACUGGGACUGAGACACGGCCCAGACUCCUACGGGAGGCAGCAGUGGGGAAUAUUGGACAAUGGGCGCAAGCCUGAUCCAGCCAUGCCGCGUGAGUGAUGAAGGCCCUAGGGUUGUAAAGCUCUUUCAACGGUGAAGAUAAUGACGGUAACCGUAGAAGAAGCCCCGGCUAACUUCGUGCCAGCAGCCGCGGUAAU
RNAcentral lists this ribosomal RNA (442 nucleotides) under uncultured bacterium. RNAcentral's name for it is "bacterial SSU rRNA". It matches the Rfam family "Bacterial small subunit ribosomal RNA", at positions 38 to 524 of the family's 1533-position model. The record is from RNAcentral.